GCAGAUCCCAACACUCCAGGAUGGUGCAGGACAUCAGUCUCAAGGUAAUUGGUCACAGAGGCAUCUUCCUUCAUGUUCUCUGGGGGAGAGACUGACUGUGGGAAUCAGCCUUGGUUGCAAAGGGAAGCUGAGAGAAGAGAGCAGCGCAGGGCACGGACAUGCCAGCCCAGUUACUGGAGAUAUCUGCCGCUGGAGACGGGUUCAGAGCCUAGUUUAAUAUCCCGAAGCAGGAAAGCUGAGAAUGUGCUGGAAAUGCUUGUUGAGGCCGACGUGUCAGGCAGCCCAUCAGUGCAGGAUGGAGCCUCGGUUGCAGAGAACUGCAGGGAGGUGGUGUGGAAGCUCAUUGGCUGUAAGAACUGCUCCGCUGCGACAGUGCUGCUGGAGGUGGUGGUGAACAGAUUUCUGAUGCCAAGCUGAUCAUCGUCUCAGCACCAGCAAAGACAUGCUAUUCCCGUCCCUGACGAGCAUUUCCUUCUUGAGAAAGUGAUUUUGAGGGGCUGCAGAUGUACUUGGAGGAAGGUUUGGGCCGGGACAGAUGACGUGCCCAUGUGGGAGCUGGACGGCCCCUCUCUGGGUAGCUCCCUGGGAACUCCCAUGUCCGCCUCCCGCUGCCUCCUGAUCCAAGGUGGAUGCACUUCAUUUGAGGCCUGGUCUUUCGUCCUUCCCUCUCCUCUUCGGGGACCACUUUGUCUAGUGCUAGACUCAUUGUGCUUCCCCCUUGGGGCUUCCUUCAGCCCUCAGCCGAUUCAAGACUUCAAAAGGAAGUUGGACAUGGAGAGGAAAAAAGAAAUGAAACCAGGAAGGAACCGCCAAGAAGCACACAACGCGUUUAUGCUGCCUUAACCACACGCUUGACUCUAAAUGGGUUUAAAAAUUCUUACUUGUGUUAGCCCAAGAAAGUUUCUGCAGCCGUCUUUUUGGUUUAAACAAUCAAAUACUCAAUAAUUCUGGGGCUGGUGGGCCAGGAUAUGGGUUACUCAGAUCUUCUGCUUCACCCCAUGCUCGGUCCCUGAGCCAGUUCUGUCAUUGGUUCUUUCAGACCAGGGCAGGAAAAGUCAAGAAAGCAAAAGCGGAUUCUAGGCUGUGGGGUUUGCUGUUUGCUAGCCCCCUGGCAGAGAUGCCUGUCCUUGCAGUCCUGAACUGGUGGCCAAGUGUGCAUGCAUGCACGUGCAGGUGUGUGCAUGUGCAGGUGUGCAUGCGUGUAUGUGCGCACACACAUUCAUGCUUGUACAUGUUUGUGUACACGCACACUUUUUUCUGCUUUCAAUUUCAAGCUGUUGCCUCCCUGAUGUGUCUGUUUAGUGACUUGAGCCAGAAAGAUUCCCGGUUCUAUGUGGGAUGAGAAUGAACGCAGGCAGGUCUCCACAGAAGUGAGUAAAGUAGAGCUGAGAAGAAGGACAUUGUCUCAUGCCAGCCUGUCCAAUAGCCACUUUGCCCCAGCCCUGCCUCAAGCCCCAGAGAGAUGACAAGGCUCUCUCUGUUUGUCGACUCCUUGAAGCUCAGAAAGGUGGGUCAAGAGGUGCCCGUCAAGCGUUUAGGCAAGCACAGGACCCUGAUCUUUACUAAGUCUCCACAUCUCUCUUGCACAGCCCUGGGCUCAGGGCUUGGUCCCCUCUGGGCAGGCCAUCCAGACUAAGUGACAGUCAGAUUGUGUGUGGGGAGGCUAGAGACAUCCAUUCUUCAUGGAUCAGCCUGAAUGGCUGGACAGAUCUUGCAAAUGGAUUGUGUAAGACAGAGUGUGGAAGAGGAGGCUGUGAUCAGUGGCUUGGAGAGCAGAGUGUGGUCAGGCGCUAAACCUAAGGCUUUUCUGGGAAGAGCUGUUAAGAUUAGACUGUUCUCCCAAAAAGCCAAUAAUUCUGAGUGUCUCCAUUAAUGCCUAGGUAGCCCAUACUCUCACCCAGCCGGUGCCCUUCAGCCUGGAACCUUUGGAUGGAGGAUUGGACCUUGUGACCUUCAAGUUCCCUUCCGAACCAAAUAUGCUCUAACCCAGGAGAUGGUGCUGUUGCCCAGGAAGCCGGUCACCAUGACGAGAGUACCCGCUCAGAUGAGGAUGCAGGCGGAGGCGGUGAAGGUGCUGGAGGCCAGGAUGCUGAGGUACCUCCAGACACCACCCAGGCUGCAGCAAAUGGAAUGGGAGAGGCUAACACACCAUAAUUUUUCAAUUCCAUGAUGCCCAUUUUUUCUCACAUUUUAACGUCUCUAAAAUUGGGGCACAUCUUAUGAUUGAUGGCAUCUUACAAUUACACUUGGCAGUACUUUUUCUUGGUGAUACAAAAAAACAACAGUGUAUCUUACAACUGAUAGCUUAGAUUCAGUGAAAUCCUAGAAUACAACAGGUUUGAAAA
RNAcentral lists this long non-coding RNA (2345 nucleotides) under Homo sapiens (human). Its description in RNAcentral is "HSALNT0366184". The record is from RNAcentral. Lineage: Eukaryota; Metazoa; Chordata; Mammalia; Primates; Hominidae.